RNAcentral lists this ribosomal RNA (1427 nucleotides) under unidentified. RNAcentral describes it as "bacterial SSU rRNA". It matches the Rfam family "Bacterial small subunit ribosomal RNA". The record is from RNAcentral.
CGAACUCUGGUAUUGAUUGGUGCUUGCAUCAUGAUUUACAUUUGAGUGAGUGGCGAACUGGUGAGUAACACGUGGGAAACCUGCCCAGAAGCGGGGGAUAACACCUGGAAACAGAUGCUAAUACCGCAUAACAACUUGGACCGCAUGGUCCGAGUUUGAAAGAUGGCUUCGGCUAUCACUUUUGGAUGGUCCCGCGGCGUAUUAGCUAGAUGGUGGGGUAACGGCUCACCAUGGCAAUGAUACGUAGCCGACCUGAGAGGGUAAUCGGCCACAUUGGGACUGAGACACGGCCCAAACUCCUACGGGAGGCAGCAGUAGGGAAUCUUCCACAAUGGACGAAAGUCUGAUGGAGCAACGCCGCGUGAGUGAAGAAGGGUUUCGGCUCGUAAAACUCUGUUGUUAAAGAAGAACAUAUCUGAGAGUAACUGUUCAGGUAUUGACGGUAUUUAACCAGAAAGCCACGGCUAACUACGUGCCAGCAGCCGCGGUAAUACGUAGGUGGCAAGCGUUGUCCCGGAUUUAUUGGGCGUAAAGCGAGCGCAGGCGGUUUUUUAAGUCUGAUGUGAAAGCCUUCGGCUCAACCGAAGAAGUGCAUCGGAAACUGGGAAACUUGAGUGCAGAAGAGGACAGUGGAACUCCAUGUGUAGCGGUGAAAUGCGUAGAUAUAUGGAAGAACACCAGUGGCGAAGGCGGCUGUCUGGUCUGUAACUGACGCUGAGGCUCGAAAGUAUGGGUAGCAAACAGGAUUAGAUACCCUGGUAGUCCAUACCGUAAACGAUGAAUGCUAAGUGUUGGAGGGUUUCCGCCCUUCAGUGCUGCAGCUAACGCAUUAAGCAUUCCGCCUGGGGAGUACGGCCGCAAGGCUGAAACUCAAAGGAAUUGACGGGGGCCCGCACAAGCGGUGGAGCAUGUGGUUUAAUUCGAAGCUACGCGAAGAACCUUACCAGGUCUUGACAUACUAUGCAAAUCUAAGAGAUUAGACGUUCCCUUCGGGGACAUGGAUACAGGUGGUGCAUGGUUGUCGUCAGCUCGUGUCGUGAGAUGUUGGGUUAAGUCCCGCAACGAGCGCAACCCUUAUUAUCAGUUGCCAGCAUUAAGUUGGGCACUCUGGUGAGACUGCCGGUGACAAACCGGAGGAAGGUGGGGAUGACGUCAAAUCAUCAUGCCCCUUAUGACCUGGGCUACACACGUGCUACAAUGGAUGGUACAACGAGUUGCGAACUCGCGAGAGUAAGCUAAUCUCUUAAAGCCAUUCUCAGUUCGGAUUGUAGGCUGCAACUCGCCUACAUGAAGUCGGAAUCGCUAGUAAUCGCGGAUCAGCAUGCCGCGGUGAAUACGUUCCCGGGCCUUGUACACACCGCCCGUCACACCAUGAGAGUUUGUAACACCCAAAGUCGGUGGGGUAACCUUUUAGGAACCAGCCGCCU